UGGGGAAUAUUGCACAAUGGGCGCAAGCCUGAUGCAGCGACGCCGCGUGAGGGAUGGAGGCCUUCGGGUUGUAAACCUCUUUCGCCAGUGAAGCAGGCCAUCUUCUUUGUGGGGUGGUUGACGGUAGCUGGAUAAGAAGCGCCGGCUAACUACGUGCCAGCAGCCGCGGUAAUACGUAGGGCGCGAGCGUUGUCCGGAAUUAUUGGGCGUAAAGAGCUCGUAGGCGGCUGGUCGCGUCUGUCGUGAAAUCCCCUGGCUUAACUGGGGGCUUGCGGUGGGUACGGGCCGGCUUGAGUGCGGUAGGGGGGACUGGAAUUCCUGGUGUAGCGGUGGAAUGCGCAGAUAUCAGGAGGAACACCGGUGGCGAAGGCGGGUCUCUGGGCCGUUACUGACGCUGAGGAGCGAAAGCGUGGGGAGCGAGCAGG
Molecule: ribosomal RNA, 425 nt
Filed under: bacterium
Lineage: Bacteria
Description: partial 16S ribosomal RNA
Rfam family: Bacterial small subunit ribosomal RNA
Source: RNAcentral